This 440-nucleotide ribosomal RNA is filed under the name uncultured bacterium. RNAcentral's name for it is "partial 16S ribosomal RNA". It matches the Rfam family "Bacterial small subunit ribosomal RNA", at positions 338 to 795 of the family's 1533-position model. The record is from RNAcentral.
CCUACGGGUGGCAGCAGUGGGGGAUAUUGCACAAUGGGGGAAACCCUGAUCCAGCCACGCCGCGUGCGUGAAGACGUAUUUAGGUAUGUUAAGCUCCAUCAGUAGGGAAGAAAAUGACAGUACCUGUCUCAGUAGCAACGGAUAACUACGUGCCAGCAGCGGCGGUAAUACGUAGGGGGCAAGCGUUAUCCGGAUUUAUUGGGUGUAAAGGGGGCGUAGGUGGUUUUGUAAGUCUGGGGUGAAAGCGCGGGGCCCAACCCCGGGACUGCUUUGGAAACUGUGUAACUGGAGUUCAGGAGGGGCAGGCGGAAUGCCUGGUGUAGCGGUGAAAUGCGUAGAUAUCAGGAAGAACACCGACGGCGAAGGCAGCCUGCUGGGCUGAAACUGACGUUGAGGCACGAAAGCGUGGGGAGCAAACAGGAUUAGAUACCCUGGUAGUC